RNAcentral lists this ribosomal RNA (305 nucleotides) under uncultured bacterium. RNAcentral describes it as "bacterial SSU rRNA". It matches the Rfam family "Bacterial small subunit ribosomal RNA", at positions 337 to 634 of the family's 1533-position model. The record is from RNAcentral.
UUCUACGGGGCGCAGCAGUAGGGAAUCUUCCACAAUGGGCGAAAGCCUGAUGGAGCAACGCCGCGUGGGUGAAGAAGGUCUUCGGAUCGUAAAACCCUGUUGUUAGAGAAGAAAGUGCGUGAGAGUAACUGUUCACGUUUCGACGGUAUCUAACCAGAAAGCCACGGCUAACUACGUGCCAGCAGCCGCGGUAAUACGUAGGUGGCAAGCGUUAUCCGGAAUUACUGGGUGUAAAGGGAGAGUAGGCGGCAAGGUAAGCGAUAUGUGAAAGCCUUAGGCUUAACCAAAGGAUUGCAUAACGAACU